This 533-nucleotide long non-coding RNA is filed under the name Rattus norvegicus (Norway rat). Its description in RNAcentral is "long non-coding RNA NONRATT023637". Lineage: Eukaryota; Metazoa; Chordata; Mammalia; Rodentia; Muridae. The record is from RNAcentral.
CAGCCGCCGCCUUGAUAUGCCCUCUCCCCUCAAGCACCCUCAAGGGUUACCUGCUGAGAGAUGGCAAAGCCGAUGACAACCUCGUCCUCCAGGACGUCCCAGCUGACCACUGCCGAGUUGGCCUUGAGGAAGACCCCAGAGAACAAGAGACCCCGGUGAAGCUGGCGGCCACCAUCCAGGAUGCCACUGUAGAGAGCCUUUCGGGGCCACUUGCUUAGCUUCUAGACACAUGGCGGGAAUCUGACCUUAACAGGACAAAAGUAAGAAGCCCAGGGCAGGAAUCUGGCUUUGGGCUUGGCCUCAGGAAAUGGGCCUUGGUUAAGAACAUUUACAUUUGAGUUAAUGCAAAGCUCAGAGCAGGAUCUGGAAGCCUGUGUGACAGGCCUUUUGUCUGGGUCAUCCUGACCAGCCCCCAGAAAGGUGUUUACAGGAUUCUGAUUAUCACCUUGCUCUUCCUGAUCCUAUCAUUCUGCAUGUAAUUAAAGUGGGAUAAAAGCAGAUUGGAAAAUAAAACAUCUGCUUCGGCCUCAGCA